UACAGAGGUCCCAAGCGUUGUUCGGAUUUACUGGGCGUAAAGGGUGCGUAGGCGGCAGUGUAAGUCGAAUGUGAAAUUUUAGGGCUCAACCUUGAAACUGCAUUCGAUACUGCACCGCUAGAGGAUUGUAGGGGAGUGUGGAAUUCACGGUGUAGCAGUGAAAUGCGUAGAUAUCGUGAGGAAGACCAGUGGCGAAGGCG
This 200-nucleotide ribosomal RNA is filed under the name uncultured bacterium. Its description in RNAcentral is "partial 16S ribosomal RNA". It matches the Rfam family "Bacterial small subunit ribosomal RNA", at positions 524 to 723 of the family's 1533-position model. The record is from RNAcentral.